This 447-nucleotide ribosomal RNA is filed under the name uncultured bacterium. RNAcentral's name for it is "bacterial SSU rRNA". It matches the Rfam family "Bacterial small subunit ribosomal RNA", at positions 330 to 794 of the family's 1533-position model. The record is from RNAcentral.
GCCAGACUCCUACGGGAGGCAGCAGUGGGGGAUAUUGCACAAUGGGGGAAACCCUGAUGCAGCAACGCCGCGUGAGUGAAGAAGUAUUUCGGUAUGUAAAGCUCUAUCAGCAGGGAAGAGAAUGACGGUACCUGACUAAGAAGCCCCGGCUAACUACGUGCCAGCAGCCGCGGUAAUACGUAGGGGGCGAGCGUUAUCCGGAUUUACUGGGUGUAAAGGGAGCGUAGACGGCUGGUCAAGUCUGAAGUGAAAGCCCGGGGCUUAACCCCGGAACGGCUUUGGAAACUGAGCAGCUAGAGUGCUGGAGAGGUAAGCGGAAUUCCUAGUGUAGCGGUGAAAUGCGUAGAUAUUAGGAGGAACACCAGUGGCGAAGGCGGCUUACUGGACAGUAACUGACGUUGAGGCUCGAAAGCGUGGGGAGCAAACAGGAUUAGAUACCCGAGUAAA